UACGAAGGGGGCUAGCGUUGUUCGGAAUUACUGGGCGUAAAGCGUGCGCAGGCGGCUUCUCAAGUCAGGGGUGAAAGCCCAGAGCUCAACUCUGGAAUUGCCUUUGAGACUGAGUGGCUUGAGUACGGGAGAGGUGAGUGGAAUUCCUGGUGUAGCGGUGGAAUGCGCAGAUAUCAGGAGGAACACCAAUAGCGAAGGCAGCUCGCUGGGACGUUACUGACACUGAGGCGCGAAAGCGUGGGGAGCGAACAGG
This 253-nucleotide ribosomal RNA is filed under the name uncultured bacterium. RNAcentral describes it as "partial 16S ribosomal RNA". It matches the Rfam family "Bacterial small subunit ribosomal RNA", at positions 524 to 776 of the family's 1533-position model. The record is from RNAcentral.